This 333-nucleotide long non-coding RNA is filed under the name Nicotiana benthamiana. RNAcentral's name for it is "long non-coding RNA (NBEN_LNC009369)". The record is from RNAcentral. Lineage: Eukaryota; Viridiplantae; Streptophyta; Magnoliopsida; Solanales; Solanaceae.
UUUCUCCAAAAUUAAUGCACACAAUCGUGGUUGCGUCCUUUGGGAAUAUGGAAAACCCGAUGGACUUUUGGGUGAGCUUUGUCUUAAAGGGUUAUCAUAUGGACAACAUAUUAACCCGGCUAGGUUCUACCAUGAUGCAUGAAAAUAAAUCAGAGUAGGUAGAUAUCAAGGUCUAAAAUGGGACCCUAAAGCGGAAAACUUGAGGGGGAAAGGCACGGAACUAUCAAACGCACCGCUGAUCGACUAGUUUUAUCUCAAAUACGCCUUUUAAAAUUUAAAGGGUGAUAUAUAGGAAGAGCGCAAACACUUAUCAAACAUUGCGAUAAGUUUGAU